Molecule: ribosomal RNA, 874 nt
Filed under: uncultured bacterium
Lineage: Bacteria
Description: bacterial SSU rRNA
Rfam family: Bacterial small subunit ribosomal RNA
Source: RNAcentral
GGCUCAGGACGAACGCUGGCGGCGUGCUUAACACAUGCAAGUCGAGCGAGGUCCAUCCAGUGGCAACACUGGUGAAGACCUAGCGGCGAACGGGUGAGUAACACGUGAGGAACCUGCCCCAAAGACCGGGAUAACCCUCCGAAAGGAGAGCUAAUACCGGAUAUCCCCAUCGGACCGCAUGAUCUGAUGAGGAAAUGGAUUCCGCUUUGGGAGGGUCUCGCGGCCUAUCAGCUUGUUGGUGAGGUAACGGCUCACCAAGGCAUCGACGGGUAGCUGGUCUGAGAGGACGAUCAGCCACACUGGGACUGAGACACGGCCCAGACUCCUACGGGAGGCAGCAGGUGGGAAUCUUGCGCAAUGGGCGAAAGCCUGACGCAGCAACGCCGCGUGGGGGAUGAAGGCUUUCGGGUUGUAAACCCCUUUCAGCAGGGACGAUUGUGACGGUACCUGCAGAAGAAGGACCGGCCAACUACGUGCCAGCAGCCGCGGUAAUACGUAGGGUCCGAGCGUUGUCCGGAUUUAUUGGGCGUAAAGAGCUCGUAGGCGGCUCGGUAAGUCGGAUGUGAAAACUCGGGGCUCAACCCCGAGACGCCAUCCGAUACUGCUGUGGCUUGAGUCUGGUAGGGGAGAACGGAAUUCCUGGUGUAGCGGUGAAAUGCGCAGAUAUCAGGAGGAACACCGGUGGCGAAGGCGGUUCUCUGGGCCAGUACUGACGCUGAGGAGCGAAAGCGUGGGUAGCAAACAGGAUUAGAUACCCUGGUAGUCCACGCCGUAAACGUUGGGCACUAGGUGUGGGUUCCUAUCGACGGAAUCCGUGCCGUAGCUAACGCAUUAAGUGCCCCGCCUGGGGGAGUACGGGCCGCAGGCUAAAACU